CUACGGGCCGCAGCAGUGGGGAAUAUUGGGCAAUGGAGGAAACUCUGACCCAGCGACGCCGCGUGAGGGAUGAAGGCCUUCGGGUUGUAAACCUCUUUCAGUAGGGAAGAAGCGAAAGUGACGGUACCUACAGAAGAAGCACCGGCUAACUAUGUGCCAGCAGCCGCGGUAAUACAUAGGGUGCAAGCGUUGUCCGGAAUUAUUGGGCGUAAAGAGCUCGUAGGUGGUUCGAUACGUCGGAUGUGAAAAUCAGGGGCUCAACCCCUGACCUGCAUUCGAUACGGUCGAGCUGGAGUUUGGUAGGGGAGACUGGAAUUCCUGGUGUAGCGGUGGAAUGCGCAGAUAUGUGGAGGAACACCAAUGGCGAAGGCAGCUCUCUGGCCUGAUACUGACGCUGAGGUGCGAAAGCGUGGGGAGCAAACAGGAUUAGAUACCCGAGUAGUC
Molecule: ribosomal RNA, 444 nt
Filed under: uncultured bacterium
Lineage: Bacteria
Description: partial 16S ribosomal RNA
Rfam family: Bacterial small subunit ribosomal RNA
Source: RNAcentral